CGGGUGAGUAAUGUAUGGGGAUCUGCCUGAUGGCGGGGGGUAACUACUGGAAACGGUAGCUAAUACCGCAUAAUGUCUGCGGACCAAAGCGGGGGACCUCCGGGCCUCGCGCCAUCAGAUGAACCCAUAUGGGAUUAGCUAGUAGGUGAGGUAACGGCUUACCUAGGCGACGAUCCCUAGCUGGUCUGAGAGGAUGACCAGCCACACUGGAACUGAGACACGGUCCAG
RNAcentral lists this ribosomal RNA (228 nucleotides) under uncultured bacterium. RNAcentral's name for it is "partial 16S ribosomal RNA". It matches the Rfam family "Bacterial small subunit ribosomal RNA", at positions 103 to 334 of the family's 1533-position model. The record is from RNAcentral.